CCUUAAGCAAUGGAGAGACGCAGGAAGGUAGCCGAACCGCGGCGAUGGUUGUUCCGCGGGUAAGGGUGUAGGGCGAGGUGUAGGCAAAUCCGCACCUCAUGUGCCUGAGACCUGACACGGACCCGUAAGGGGAAGUCGGUGAUCCUAUGCUGCCAAGAAAAUCUUCUAGCGAGGUUCUAGCCGCCCGUACCCCAAACCGACUCAGGUGGUUAGGUAGAGAAUACCAAGGCGAUCGAGUGAAUCGUGGUUAAGGAAUUCGGCAAAAUACCCCCGUAACUUCGGGAGAAGGGGGGCCCAGAGGGUGACGGGACUUGCUCCCCGAGCCUGAACGGCCGCGGAGACCAGGGAGAAGCGACUGUUUACUAAAAACACAGGUCCGUGCCAAGUCGCAAGACGAUGUAUACGGACUGACGCCUGCCCGGUGCUGGAACGUUAAGGGGACCGGUUAGCCUCACGGCGAAGCUGAGAACUUAAGCGCCAGUAAACGGCGGUGGUAACUAUAACCAUCCUAAGGUAGCGAAAUUCCUUGUCGGGUAAGUUCCGACCUGCACGAAUGGCGUAACGACUUCUCCACUGUCUCAACCACGAACUCGGCGAAAUUGCACUACGAGUAAAGAUGCUCGUUACGCGCAGAAGGACGGAAAGACCCCGGGACCUUUACUACAGCUUGGUAUUGGUGUUCGGUACGGCUUGUGUAGGAUAGGUGGGAGACUGUGAAGCUGACACGCCAGUGUCGGUGGAGUCAACGUUGAAAUACCACUCUGGUCGUUCUGGAUAUCUAACCUAGGUCCGUAAUCCGGAUCAGGGACAGUGCCUGGUGGGUAGUUUAACUGGGGCGGUUGCCUCCUAAAAGGUAACGGAGGCGCCCAAAGGUUCCCUCAGCCUGGUUGGCAAUCAGGUUUCGAGUGUAAGUGCACAAGGGAGCUUGACUGUGAGACUGACAAGUCGAACAGGGACGAAAGUCGGGACUAGUGAUCCGGCGGUGGCUUGUGGAAGCGCCGUCGCUCAACGGAUAAAAGGUACCCCGGGGAUAACAGGCUGAUCUUGCCCAAGAGUCCAUAUCGACGGCAUGGUUUGGCACCUCGAUGUCGGCUCGUCGCAUCCUGGGGCUGGAGUAGGUCCCAAGGGUUGGGCUGUUCGCCCAUUAAAGCGGUACGCGAGCUGGGUUUAGAACGUCGUGAGACAGUUCGGUCCCUAUCCUCUGCGCGCGCAGGAAACUCGAGAAGGGCUGUCCCUAGUACGAGAGGACCGGGAUGGACGAACCUCUGGUGUGUCAGUUGUUCUGCCAAGAGCACCGCUGAUUAGCUACGUUCGGGAGCGAUAACCGCUGAAAGCAUCUAAGCGGGAAGCAUGCUUCAAGAUGAGGUUUCCAUGGGGUUUACCCCGAGAGGCUCCCAGCUAGACUACUGGGUUGAUGGGCCGGAUGUGGAAGUGCGGUAACGCAUGGAGCUAACCGGUACUAAUAAGCCGAUAACUUGACC
Molecule: ribosomal RNA, 1481 nt
Filed under: metagenome
Description: bacterial LSU rRNA
Rfam family: Bacterial large subunit ribosomal RNA
Source: RNAcentral